Long non-coding RNA from Haliotis rubra (blacklip abalone), 245 nucleotides. RefSeq lists it as uncharacterized. The record is from RefSeq and is a predicted model, not a curated record. The transcript is spliced from 3 exons. NCBI's taxonomy places the organism in Eukaryota, Metazoa, Mollusca, Gastropoda, Lepetellida, Haliotidae.
GUCGGUGACCAAAAUUAACAAUCCUCGUUCAGGGCUAAGUGACGUGCUGUUCUGUUGAAGUGUCUGCCCCCACGUUAACAUGCACGUUACCAGGAAAACAAAUGAUAAAUAGUUUGAUGACGGUUUACGUUCGGGUUAAACAACUUCUCUAUAUUAUUUUGAUUACAUCUGUGACUAUCGUAAACCAUAUGGGGCAAUAUGAACGUCGCAUUUCUACUACCAACGUAAGGACUGCAAACAUUGCG